AAAUUGAAGAGUUUGAUCAUGGCUCAGAUUGAACGCUGGCGGCAGGCCUAACACAUGCAAGUCGAACGGUAACAGGAAGCAGCUUGCUGCUUUGCUGACGAGUGGCGGACGGGUGAGUAAUGUCUGGGAAGCUGCCUGAUGGAGGGGGAUAACUACUGGAAACGGUGGCUAAUACCGCAUAACGUCGCAAGACCAAAGAGGGGGACCUUCGGGCCUCUUGCCAUCAGAUGUGCCCAGAUGGGAUUAGCUUGUUGGUGAGGUAACGGCUCACCAAGGCGACGAUCCCUAGCUGGUCUGAGAGGAUGACCAGCCACACUGGAACUGAGACACGGUCCAGACUCCUACGGGAGGCAGCAGUGGGGAAUAUUGCACAAUGGGCGCAAGCCUGAUGCAGCCAUGCCGCGUGUAUGAAGAAGGCCUUCGGGUUGUAAAGUACUUUCAGCGGGGAGGAAGGUGUUGUGGUUAAUAACCGCAGCAAUUGACGUUACCCGCAGAAGAAGCACCGGCUAACUCCGUGCCAGCAGCCGCGGUAAUACGGAGGGUGCAAGCGUUAAUCGGAAUUACUGGGCGUAAAGCGCACGCAGGCGGUCUGUCAAGUCGGAUGUGAAAUCCCCGGGCUCAACCUGGGAACUGCAUUCGAAACUGGCAGGCUUGAGUCUUGUAGAGGGGGGUAGAAUUCCAGGUGUAGCGGUGAAAUGCGUAGAGAUCUGGAGGAAUACCGGUGGCGAAGGCGGCCCCCUGGACAAAGACUGACGCUCAGGUGCGAAAGCGUGGGGAGCAAACAGGAUUAGAUACCCUGGUAGUCCACGCCGUAAACGAUGUCUACUUGGAGGUUGUGCCCUUGAGGCGUGGCUUCCGGAGCUAACGCGUUAAGUAGACCGCCUGGGGAGUACGGCCGCAAGGUUAAAACUCAAAUGAAUUGACGGGGGCCCGCACAAGCGGUGGAGCAUGUGGUUUAAUUCGAUGCAACGCGAAGAACCUUACCUGGUCUUGACAUCCACGGAAGAAUUCAGAGAUGGAUUUGUGCCUUCGGGAACCGUGAGACAGGUGCUGCAUGGCUGUCGUCAGCUCGUGUUGUGAAAUGUUGGGUUAAGUCCCGCAACGAGCGCAACCCUUAUCCUUUGUUGCCAGCGGUUAGGCCGGGAACUCAAAGGAGACUGCCAGUGAUAAACUGGAGGAAGGUGGGGAUGACGUCAAGUCAUCAUGGCCCUUACGACCAGGGCUACACACGUGCUACAAUGGCGCAUACAAAGAGAAGCGACCUCGCGAGAGCAAGCGGACCUCAUAAAGUGCGUCGUAGUCCGGAUUGGAGUCUGCAACUCGACUCCAUGAAGUCGGAAUCGCUAGUAAUCGUGGAUCAGAAUGCCACGGUGAAUACGUUCCCGGGCCUUGUACACACCGCCCGUCACACCAUGGGAGUGGGUUGCAAAAGAAGUAGGUAGCUUAACCUUCGGGAGGGCGCUUACCACUUUGUGAUUCAUGACUGGGGUGAAGUCGUAACAAGGUAACCGUAGGGGAACCUGCGGUUGGAUCACCUCCUUA
This 1542-nucleotide ribosomal RNA is filed under the name Salmonella enterica subsp. enterica serovar Bredeney str. CFSAN001080. Its description in RNAcentral is "bacterial SSU rRNA". It matches the Rfam family "Bacterial small subunit ribosomal RNA". The record is from RNAcentral. Lineage: Bacteria; Pseudomonadati; Pseudomonadota; Gammaproteobacteria; Enterobacterales; Enterobacteriaceae.